This is a small nuclear RNA of Camelus dromedarius (Arabian camel), 104 nucleotides long. The record is from Ensembl. NCBI's taxonomy places the organism in Eukaryota, Metazoa, Chordata, Mammalia, Artiodactyla, Camelidae.
AAACAGUGCUCACUUUGGCAGCUAAAAUUGGAAGGAUACAGAGAAGAUUAGCAUUGCCCCUGGGCAAGGAUGACGUGCAAAUUUGUGAAGCGUUUCAUAUUUAA